This 533-nucleotide ribosomal RNA is filed under the name Microtus thomasi (Thomas's pine vole). RNAcentral describes it as "partial 16S ribosomal RNA". It matches the Rfam family "Bacterial large subunit ribosomal RNA", at positions 1850 to 2607 of the family's 2925-position model. Lineage: Eukaryota; Metazoa; Chordata; Mammalia; Rodentia; Cricetidae. The record is from RNAcentral.
GAGGCCUGCCUGCCCAGUGACAAACGUUCAACGGCCGCGGUAUCCUGACCGUGCAAAGGUAGCAUAAUCACUUGUUCCUUAAUUGGGGACUGGAAUGAAUGGCCUCACGAGGAUUCAACUGUCUCUUACCUCUAAUCAGUGAAAUUGACCUCCCCGUGAAGAGGCGGGGAUAUAACAACAAGACGAGAAGACCCUAUGGAGCUUUAAUUUUCUGUCUUAACUACUAAAUAACUAACCCUACUGGGAUAAAAAAAAGAGAAAUAAGUCAGUAAUUUCGGUUGGGGUGACCUCGGAGAAUAAGACAACCUCCGAAUGAUUUUAACCAAGACAAACAAGUCAAAGUAUUAAAAAUCAAAUUGACCCAAUUCAUUUGAUCAACGGACCAAGUUACCCUAGGGAUAACAGCGCAAUCCUAUUCAAGAGUCCAUAUCGACAAUUAGGGUUUACGACCUCGAUGUUGGAUCAGGACAUCCCAAUGGUGCAGCAGCUAUUAAUGGUUCGUUUGUUCAACGAUUAAAGUCCUACGUGAUCUG